RNAcentral lists this ribosomal RNA (254 nucleotides) under uncultured bacterium. Its description in RNAcentral is "partial 16S ribosomal RNA". It matches the Rfam family "Bacterial small subunit ribosomal RNA", at positions 524 to 776 of the family's 1533-position model. The record is from RNAcentral.
UACGGAGGGUGCAAGCGUUGCUCGGAAUCACUGGGCGUAAAGCGUACGCAGGCGGCUCGAUAAGUCGGGAGUGAAAGCCCGGGGCUCAACCCCGGAAUUGCGCCCGAUACUGCCGGGCUUGAGUACGGGAGAGGGAGAGCGGAAUUCCUGGUGUAGAGGUGAAAUUCGUAGAUAUCAGGAGGAACACCAGUGGCGAAAGCGGCUUCCUGGCCCGAUUCUGACGCGCAUGUACGAAAGCGUGGGGAGCAAACAGG